Molecule: long non-coding RNA, 633 nt
Filed under: Homo sapiens (human)
Lineage: Eukaryota; Metazoa; Chordata; Mammalia; Primates; Hominidae
Description: non-protein coding SNHG7:10
Source: RNAcentral
GCGCUGGAUCAUGCCGUACACCGUGUCAGGAUCACGCAGGACAGGACUGGGGAAGGGUUUGCUGGCGUCUCGGUUAAUAGCAGUAACGGCAGCCGCUUGUGUUCUUGAUUCUUUGCCAAGCAUUCUUGUUAUUUAACACGGGAAGGAGGUGACUUCGCCUGUGAUGGACUUCCAGUGUGAGCACUGGCCAGAGUGACCAGGCUGACCAGCACCAGCCCUGAUCCAGGUAAGAGAUGCAGAGGCCAGGAUGUGGGCCCAGCCCUGUGCCAGGAGGCUGGCUGGAAUAAAGGGAUGGGCAGGCUGGCAUGGGGGCAGCCGCUGCCCCUGCCUGGGUGUUGCUGUGUAUUCCUGCCGGCCAGGGGCCACUGCCAGGACCACGCCUCCCUUUUCAUAUCCCGAUUCUUAAGUUCUGCUAUUGUGGUAUUCUGGUGGAGAAAAAAGAACCGCGUGGCUGUUUUUGAACUGCCUGGAACCUAAGACCCUGAAUUCUUUUCCCCCCCAAGGGGAAAAUCUAUAUGGAAAACAUUUAUUUUAAAAUACAGGAUGAAGUGAAUUAAAAGAUUUAAAUGCACAUUUCUUUAAGGAUAAUAUUUCUGUGUUGGCAAAAUUUGAGAGUAAAUUGGUCUUGAAUGG